GAUGAAGAACGUAGCGAAAUGCGAUACUUGGUGUGAAUUGCAGAAUCCCGUGAACCAUCGAGUCUUUGAACGCAAGUUGCGCCCGAAGUCUUUUAGACCGAGGGCACGCCUGCCUGGGCGUCACACACAGCGUCGCCCCCCACCAACCCGUUGGCUGGGGGACGGAAACUGGCCCCCCGAGCCCCCACGGGCACGGCCGGCACAAAUGUUGGUCCUCGGCGGCGAGCGUCGCGGUCAGCGGUGGUUGUCCAACCCUCGGUGCCAUGCUGCGCGCGCUAGCCGCUCACUGUUACUCGACGACCCCAAGGCGUCGUAGCCACGACGCUCACAACGCGACCCCAGGUCAGGCGGGGCUACCCGCUGAGUUUAAGCAUAUCAAUAAGCGGAGGA
Molecule: unclassified non-coding RNA, 390 nt
Filed under: soil metagenome
Description: partial contains 5.8S ribosomal RNA, internal transcribed spacer 2, and large subunit ribosomal RNA
Rfam family: 5.8S ribosomal RNA (bases 1-123)
Source: RNAcentral